This 1565-nucleotide ribosomal RNA is filed under the name Hylomyscus denniae vulcanorum. RNAcentral describes it as "16S ribosomal RNA". It matches the Rfam family "Bacterial large subunit ribosomal RNA". The record is from RNAcentral. Lineage: Eukaryota; Metazoa; Chordata; Mammalia; Rodentia; Muridae.
ACCAAUUCUAGCCCUGAUAUUAAUUCAUCAAACUACAACUUUACUGUAAAACAAAACAUUCACAUAUAAAAGUAUUGGAGAAAGAAAUUUAUACCCAGGAGCUAUAGAGCUAGUACCGUAAGGGAAAGAUGAAAGACUAAUUUAUAGUACUAAUAAGCAAAGAUUAAACCUUGUACCUUUUGCAUAAUGAGUUAACUAGAAACUCUCUGACUAAAAGAAUUUAAGCCAGAAACCCCGAAACCAAACGAGCUACCUAAAAACAAUUUUAUGAAUCAACCCGUCUAUGUAGCAAAAUAGUGGGAAGAUUUUUAGGUAGAGGUGAAAAGCCUAACGAGCUUGGUGAUAGCUGGUUACCCAAAAAAUGAAUUUUAGUUCAACUUUAAAUUUACCAAAAGAACAAAAAUAAAUCUUAACGUAAAUUUAAAAUAUAGCCAAAAGAGGGACAGCUCUUUAGGAAUGGAAAAAACCUUUAAUAGUGAAUAAACAAAAACAAUAUAACCAUUGUUGGCCUAAAAGCAGCCAUCAACAAAGAAAGCGUUCAAGCUCAACAUAAAAACUCAACUAAUCCCCAAAUCAUAAUAACUUCCUAAAAUAUAAACUGGGUUAUUCUAUAUAUCUAUAGAAGAAAUACUGUUAAUAUGAGUAACAAGAACCAAUUCUCCUUGCACAAGUGUAUAACAACUCGGAUAACCAUUGUUAGUUAUCAAAUCAUAGAUAAUAACCCUCAAAUAAAUUUAUCUAAAAUUAAUCUGUUAACCCAACACAGGAGUGCCAUAAGGAAAGAUUAAUCAAAAUAAAAGGAACUCGGCAAACCAGAACCCCGCCUGUUUACCAAAAACAUCACCUCUAGCAUAAUAAGUAUUAGAGGCAUUGCCUGCCCAGUGACUAUAGUUAAACGGCCGCGGUAUCCUGACCGUGCAAAGGUAGCAUAAUCAUUUGUUCCUUAAUUAGGGACUAGUAUGAACGGCUAGACGAGGGAUCAACUGUCUCUUAUUUUUGAUCAGUGAAAUUGACCUUCCAGUGAAGAGGCUGGAAUAUUACAAUAAGACGAGAAGACCCUAUGGAGCUUAAAUUUACAAGUCUAAAUAUUUCCAUUCAUUUUCCCAAACGGACCAAAACAAAAUAUGUAGACUUAAAAUUUUGGUUGGGGUGACCUCGGAGAACAAAAAAUCCUCCGAACGAUAAUAACAUAGACUAACAAGUCAAAGUGAUAAAUUUAUCCAAUUGACCCAAAAAUAAUUUGAUCAACGGACCAAGUUACCCUAGGGAUAACAGCGCAAUCCUAUUUAAGAGUCCAUAUCGACAAGAGGGUUUACGACCUCGAUGUUGGAUCAGGACAUCCUAAUGGUGCAGCAGCUAUUAAGGGUUCGUUUGUUCAACGAUUAAAGUCCUACGUGAUCUGAGUUCAGACCGGAGAAAUCCAGGUCGGUUUCUAUCUAUUAACAAUUUCUCCCAGUACGAAAGGAUAAGAGAAAUAGAGCCACCUUAACAAAAGUGCUCUAAACCAAAUUUAUGAAUAAAAUCUAAAUAAAAAAUGUAUGUAAACCUAUCACCUAGACAAGGUC